Musa acuminata AAA Group (dessert banana) is the source of this 4619-nucleotide RNA transcript. It is a transcript of the gene named DNA repair protein RAD5A-like, with no coding region annotated. NCBI's taxonomy places the organism in Eukaryota, Viridiplantae, Streptophyta, Magnoliopsida, Zingiberales, Musaceae. The transcript has 21 exons. The record is from RefSeq and is a predicted model, not a curated record.
UCAGGUUUACACAUGGCAUCUGCAUUCAUUUGAUCCCGACUAUAUAUUAUGCGAUAUAUUCUUUCACGUAUGACGUAACCAAGCCACUCGAUAAAUCAUUUUUCACGAUCUACCAUGUUCAUUCGUGUAACGCAGUUCAACAUGUUUGUAAUCAAGCAAUCACGAGUCUUAAAGACCCAGGGAUAUGCUGCUCAACAAAUCAAGGGGACGAGUGUGGCUCGCUUGAGCGUUGUGUCGAUCGGAGAGAUUGGGGAGGACCGGUCAUUAUGAAGCCCUACAUCAGCUCAAGGCGGGAAAGUUCUCGAUCCCGCCUUGCAAGCCGCGAAAGUAAAGCGGCGCCACUUCCCCGCUCCUCCCUCUUCCCCAUCGUCGCACCGUAGUCGUUCUUGCUUUCUUGGUUCUUUUCCAUCCUCCUCUAGGGUUAGGGUUCCUCUUGCGCGGGGGAAGGGACGGGGGUUCGCUGAAUGUUAGAGCGCAAUGGGCGUCAAUAAGGUCACGGACGAAGGCAUCGCGGUCGUCCGUUCGGUGGUGGGGCAGGAUUUCUCGGACAUGGACAUCAUCCGUGCUCUCCACUUGGCCAACAACGACGUAUCGGCCGCCAUCAACAUAAUCUUCGACACCCCACGCAUCCGCGUCACCCCCGGCGAUGGAAGCGCCGGCGCCCGGAGAAGAAACCUCGAUCCCCUCACUGUGGCUGAUUCUCCUGCCGAUCAUGCGCCCGUCACUGCCGGUUCUCCCACUUCCGCGGAGAGUGAUCUACCUGCGGAGCGGAACACUGACGGGGGGGUUGCUGCGGAAUCGUCCGGUUCCAAAGAAAGUGAUUGGUGGCUCGUAGGAAGCACCGAGCUUUCUGGGCUUUCCACCUGCAAGGGGAGGCGGAUUAAGCCCGGGGACAAGGUGAACUUCUCCUUCCCGUUGGCAAAUAAGACGACUUCCCCUUCCACGGCCACCAGGUUUCCCGGUAGAGGGCGGUCGGUGGCUUCUUGUUCUGAGAUAGUUCGCUUCUCUACUGAGGAUCACGUAGAGAUUGGUCGCAUCCCCAAUGAAUGGGCUCGCUGCCUUUUGCCUCUGGUGAGGACAAAGAAGAUUAAAAUUGAAGGUUUUUGUAAAUCUGUGCCUGAAGUCCUUGGCAUUAUGGAUACUAUUCAUUUAUCUGUUAGUGUGUAUAUCAAUAGCUCUAUGAUCCAGAAACAUCAACAAACCACAGUGAGGUCCAUAAAUAUUUCCACUGAGGAAUCAUCAGUUCAUCCACUUCCAUCCCUGUUCAGAUUACUUGGUCUUACUCCUUUUAGAAAGGCUGAGUUCACUCCGGAGGAUCUCUACACUAGGAAGCGGGCCAUAGAAUUCAAGGACAGGUCUGGAGUGUCUGCAGAAGUUUUACCUUCAGAAAAGUUGAGAAAAUUAUGUGUCAAUGGGAGUAAAGUCGAAGAUAAUGAGGAGACUAUCUCAGAUACUGAUAUGGAUAGUAUUAUAGGCAUUGCAGAUAGUUCUCAGCUAGAGGAAAUGAUACCCCCUGACAGUCUGCAGUGCGAGUUACGUCCUUACCAAAAGCAAGCUCUUUAUUGGAUGGUACAGCUUGAAAAAGGAAGACGUUUUAAGGAGGCAGCAACCACACUACAUCCAUGUUGGAGUGCAUAUCAUAUUGCGGAUAGGAGGGGAUUUGUUGUUUAUCUGAACGCAUUUUCUGGCGAUGUAACACUUGAAUUUCCAAGCACCUUGCAUAUGUCUAGAGGCGGGAUUUUGGCAGAUGCAAUGGGACUAGGGAAGACCAUUAUGACGAUAGCCCUUCUCCUUGCCCAUUCUGGUAAGGGAGGCUCGUCUUCUUCCACUUCAAGCCAGGAUUCUCUUGAUACAAAUGAAGUCAAUGACAUGUCUGAUCAAUCUCCAAUUACUUCGAAUAAGUUAACAAGCAUCACUGGAUUCAGAAAGUUGUUUAAAUCCAAGGCUUCACUUGUAGGAGGUGGUAAUCUAAUUGUGUGUCCAAUGACAUUACUAAGCCAGUGGAAGGUUGAACUUGAAACCCAUACUCAUCCAGGAUCUCUUACUGUCUAUGUUCACUAUGGGCAAAGCCGAACUAAAGAUGCAAAGUUUUUGGCGCAAAAUGAUGUUGUUCUAACUACCUAUGGUGUUUUGGCAUCAGAAUAUUCAGCUGAAAGUACUGAAGAAAAUGGUGUACUUUACUCAGUUAGGUGGUUCAGGGUUGUGCUUGAUGAAGCUCAUACUGUAAAAUCAUCUAAGAGCCAGGUCUCCAUGGCUGCUGCAUUUCUUAACGCUGACAGGAGGUGGUGUCUCACUGGCACACCUAUUCAGAACAACUUAGAGGAUGUAUACAGUCUUCUGCGAUUUCUGAGAGUGGAGCCAUGGGGAAACUGGGGGCUGUGGUAUAAACUUAUACAAAAGCCUUAUGAGGAAGGUGAUGAACGUGGAUUAAAACUGGUGCAGUCCAUUUUAAGGCCAAUAAUGUUAAGAAGGACAAAAUCGAGCACAGAUGCAGAAGGCAGGCCAAUUCUCGUGCUUCCUCCUGCACAAGUUGAAGUCCUUUACUGUGAGCUGUCAGCAGCUGAGAAGGACUUCUAUGAGGCUCUUUUUAAGAGAUCUAAGGUAAAGUUUGAUAUGUUUGUGGAGCAAGGGCGGGUUCUUCACAAUUAUGCUUCAAUUUUGGAGUUGCUUUUACGCCUUCGGCAGUGUUGCGACCAUCCCUUCCUUGUCAUGAGUCGAGGUGAUACACAAGAGUUCUCAGACCUCAACAAACUUGCAAAACAUUUUCUGAAAGGUGGUAAAGAUGCUGGUAAUGGAGAUACCUGUGCUGUCCCUUCUAAGGCAUACAUUAAAGAGGUUGUGGAAGAGCUGCGUAAAGGAGAGGAAGGAGAGUGUCCAAUUUGUUUAGAAGCUUAUGAAGAUGCAGUAUUGACACCGUGUGCACACCGUUUAUGCCGAGAGUGCCUCUUCGCUAGCUGGCGAAGUGCCUUGAGUGGUCUUUGUCCUGUUUGUAGGAAAAUUAUAAAUAAGCAGGAUCUUAUUACUGCUCCGACCGACCGUCGUUUUCGAAUUGAUGUUGAGAAGAACUGGGUUGAAUCUUCAAAGGUUUCUGUUCUCCUUCAGGAAUUAGACAAACUUCGCUCUUUAGGUGCCAAAAGUAUCAUAUUUAGCCAAUGGACUGGUUUUCUGGAUCUUCUGGAAAUACCGCUUUCUCGACACAAUUUCUUGUUUGUUAGAUUGGAUGGGACCUUAAAUCAACAGCAAAGGGAAAAAGUACUCAACAAGUUUGCUGAGAAUACAAAUAUAUUGGUACUUCUAAUGUCACUGAAGGCUGGUGGUGUUGGAAUAAACCUUACGGCAGCAACUAAUGCCUUUCUUAUGGAUCCCUGGUGGAACCCAGCUGUUGAAGAACAGGCUGUGAUGCGAAUACAUCGCAUUGGUCAAACCAAAAGUGUAGCCAUCAAAAGAUUCAUUGUAAAGGGAACCGUGGAAGAAAGAAUGGAAAUGGUACAGGCUCGAAAGCAGAGGAUGAUAUCUGGAGCCCUAACAGACCAUGAACUUCGCACUGCACGAAUCGAAGAACUAAAGAUGCUUUUUACUUGAAAUUCUGCAAAACGAGAUGUGAGAUGUUCUCACGUGCUUGAGCUACCUUUCAUAAUAUUCUCGUUUCCUCUGUUAGGCUGUUCGGGGGGGACACUCUUAGUAAAAUCGUGUUCUGCUCACAAGGGACCCACUCCGUUUGAACGGCCACGAUGCUUUCAGAGAAAUGAGAAUCUCUCUCGUGUUUGAAAUCUUUGUAAAUGCUCAUAUAUGUAGCGUCUAGUUGUCCAGAUAUAGUGUUUUCCCCUGUCAGAAUUCAAAUCAAUCAAUACUAAUAGUUAAACUCUCCUAGCGGUAGCGUUGGAGUGUUGCGUUUGAUGCCACGACGUGGCAAGCGUUCCACAACCUUCAGUCCUUUUCCAGAGCUGUUUACCAAGUACCCGUCGCCUUCUUCCUCGGUUGCCGCCGAUAAGACCUAUCCAUGCAUCACCCCCACCACAACCAUCGAGGGCUUCUGCGCGCUGCACACGAACGUCGUGACAGAGACGGCGAGAUGGAGAUAAGGGCGGUAAGCGGGGACGAGGAAGGUAGGAAGAAGGUGGAGAGGGUGGAGGUGCCCAAGACCCGCCGCUCGGACGCCGUGCGCUACAUAGAGAAGAAGCUGGUGGACAAGGGCGGAAGCCAAGGAAGGAGUCUCUAGGAUUGAGGUUCUCCCGCCUCUCCUUGGAGUUUCUAGGAUUGAGGUUCUCCCGCCUCUCCAGCCGAGCCAUGAUCCAUCCGCUCUUUAAUCUUCUUCUUCUUCUUUUUCUUCCUUUGCUGUCCGAGUUUACUGAGCCACAAAAAAUCAGUGUGUUAUGUAGCAAGGGUUUGGGUUUGUCCGAGUACUCUUUUCGUUUCCUCGUCAGCCGAAAGUAAAGGAAAAGGAAUGAUUUGUCGGACAAACUAUUUUCUGUAAGCCAUGAAAUCAACUCUAAACUGGAAUAAAAGGUAAAUAUAAUCUGUAAGAGUCAUAACUAUGUUUAACAUUGGUGUACUCUAACAAAGGCAAAUGUCAUCUCGAAUGUUGUUUGAAUCGCAAGUAUCACUAAAAUUAAAACCCA